RNAcentral lists this ribosomal RNA (493 nucleotides) under uncultured Lactobacillus sp. RNAcentral describes it as "bacterial SSU rRNA". It matches the Rfam family "Bacterial small subunit ribosomal RNA", at positions 58 to 507 of the family's 1533-position model. Lineage: Bacteria; Bacillati; Bacillota; Bacilli; Lactobacillales; Lactobacillaceae. The record is from RNAcentral.
CAAGUCGAACGCGUUGGCCCAACUGAUUGACGGUGCUUGCACCUGAUUGACGUUGGAUUACCAACGAGUGGCGGACGGGUGAGUAACACGUAGGCAACCUGCCCAGAAGCGGGGGACAACAUUUGGAAACAAGUGCUAAUACCGCAUAAAUCCUCAAACCGCAUGGUUUGAGGCUGAAAGAUGGUUUCGGCUAUCACUUCUGGAUGGGCCUGCGGCGCAUUAGCUUGUUGGUGGGGUAACGGCCUACCAAGGCUAUGAUGCGUAGCCGAGUUGAGAGACUGAUCGGCCACAAUGGAACUGAGACACGGUCCAUACUCCUACGGGAGGCAGCAGUAGGGAAUCUUCCACAAUGGGCGCAAGCCUGAUGGAGCAACACCGCGUGAGUGAAGAAGGGCUUCGGCUCGUAAAGCUCUGUUGUUGAAGAAGAACGUGCGUGAGAGUAACUGUUCACGCAGUGACGGUAUUCAACCAGAAAGUCACGGCUAACUACGUG